AGUGAACGCUGGCGGUAGGCCUAACACAUGCAAGUCGAACGGCAGCACAGUAAGAGCUUGCUCUUACGGGUGGCGAGUGGCGGACGGGUGAGGAAUACAUCGUAAUCUACUUUUUCGUGGGGGAUAACGUAGGGAAACUUACGCUAAUACCGCAUACGACCUACGGGUGACAGCAGGGGAUCUUCGGACCUUGCGCGAUUGAAUGAGCCGAUGUCGGAUUAGCUAGUUGGCGGGGUAAAGGCCCACCAAGGCGACGAUCCGUAGCUGGUCUGAGAGGAUGAUCAGCCACACUGGAACUGAGACACGGUCCAGACUCCUACGGGAGGCAGCAGUGGGGAAUAUUGGACAAUGGGCGCAAGCCUGAUCCAGCCAUACCGCGUGGGUGAAGAAGGCAUUCGGGUUGUAAAGCCCUUUUGGUGGGAAAGAAAAGCAGCAGGUUAAUACCACGCUGUUCUGACGGUACCCAAAGAAUAAGCACCGGCUAACUUCGUG
This 492-nucleotide ribosomal RNA is filed under the name uncultured bacterium. RNAcentral describes it as "partial 16S ribosomal RNA". It matches the Rfam family "Bacterial small subunit ribosomal RNA", at positions 29 to 507 of the family's 1533-position model. The record is from RNAcentral.